RNAcentral lists this ribosomal RNA (371 nucleotides) under uncultured organism. Its description in RNAcentral is "bacterial SSU rRNA". It matches the Rfam family "Bacterial small subunit ribosomal RNA", at positions 526 to 897 of the family's 1533-position model. The record is from RNAcentral.
CGUAGGGUGCAGGCGUUAAUCGGAAUUACUGGGCGUAAAGCGUGCGCAGGCGGUCUCUUAAGACAGGUGUGAAAUCCCCGGGCUUAACCUGGGAACUGCGCUUGUAACUGAGAGGCUAGAGUGUGGCAGAGGGGGGUGGAAUUCCACGUGUAGCAGUGAAAUGCGUAGAGAUGUGGAGAAACACCGAUGGCGAAGGCAGCCCCCUGGGCUAACACUGACGCUCAUGCACGAAAGCGUGGGGAGCAAACAGGAUUAGAUACCCUGGUAGUCCACGCCCUAAACUAUGUCAACUGGUUGUCGGGGAAGCAAUUCCUUGGUAACGAAGCUAACGCGUGAAGUUGACCGCCUGGGGAGUACGGCCGCAAGGUUAA